GCCUCGGUGGUGUAGUGGUAGCAUGCAUCCCCGGUAUGCAUCAAACGCGGGUUCGACUACCGUCUGAGGUCA
Parelaphostrongylus tenuis is the source of this 72-nucleotide non-coding RNA. The record is from the annotation of a GenBank genome assembly. NCBI's taxonomy places the organism in Eukaryota, Metazoa, Nematoda, Chromadorea, Rhabditida, Metastrongylidae.